GGGAGUAUAAGAUCAGCGGUUAAUCUGCUAGGCUAUAGUGUAAGCAAUAACCUAUGUAACGGGGGGUUCGAAUCCCUCUGCUCCUA
Molecule: transfer RNA, 86 nt
Filed under: seawater metagenome
Description: tRNA-Tyr
Rfam family: tRNA
About the family: Transfer RNA (tRNA) molecules are approximately 80 nucleotides in length.
Source: RNAcentral